GAUGAACGCUAGCGGCAGGCCUAGCACAUGCAAGUCGAGGGGCAGAAGUUGCUUGCAACUUUGAGACCGGCGCACGGGUGCGUAACGCGUAUGCAAUCUGCCUUAUACUGAGGGAUAGCCCAGAGAAAUUUGGAUUAAUACCUCAUAGCAUUAUGAUGUGGCAUCACAUUAUAAUUAAAGUUCCAACGGUACAAGAUGAGCAUGCGUCCCAUUAGUUAGUUGGUAAGGUAACGGCUUACCAAGACGAUGAUGGGUAGGGGUCCUGAGAGGGAGAUCCCCCACACUGGUACUGAGGAACGGACCAGACUCCUACGGGAGGCAGCAGGGAGGAAUGUUGGUCAAUGGGCGGAAGCCUGAACCGGCCAUGCCGCGUGCAGGAUGACGCAUCUAUGGUGUGUAAACUGCUUUUGUACAGGAAGAAACACUCCCUCGGGAGGGAGCUUGACGGUACUGUAAGAAUAAGGAUCGGCUAACUCCGUGCCAGCAGCCGCCGUAA
Molecule: ribosomal RNA, 496 nt
Filed under: uncultured bacterium
Lineage: Bacteria
Description: partial 16S ribosomal RNA
Rfam family: Bacterial small subunit ribosomal RNA
Source: RNAcentral